GUUUGCUCACUUCGGCAACACAUACACUAAAACUGAAACAACACAGAGAAGAUUACCAUGACCCCUGCACAAGAAUGACAAAAAUGAGUUUGUUAUAAACAGAUAUUAC
Small nuclear RNA from Ochotona princeps (American pika), 109 nucleotides. Lineage: Eukaryota; Metazoa; Chordata; Mammalia; Lagomorpha; Ochotonidae. The record is from RefSeq and is a predicted model, not a curated record.